CUUACAGAGUUCAUUGGCAUUCUGUCUACCUCCCAUCCCCUCUUUCAAGAAAGAAGCAAGAUUAACAUGGAGGUAGGCAUACUGCCAACAGAGUUGUGUUGG
Molecule: microRNA precursor, 102 nt
Filed under: Capsicum annuum
Lineage: Eukaryota; Viridiplantae; Streptophyta; Magnoliopsida; Solanales; Solanaceae
Also listed under: 1 other name
Description: MIR394 microRNA precursor family
Rfam family: MIR394 microRNA precursor family
Source: Rfam by way of RNAcentral